RNAcentral lists this small nuclear RNA (106 nucleotides) under Pogona vitticeps (central bearded dragon). The record is from RNAcentral. Lineage: Eukaryota; Metazoa; Chordata; Lepidosauria; Squamata; Agamidae.
GGAGCUACAGGUUGAUACAUGCAAUGAAACUGGAAUGAUAUAGAGAUGGUUGGCACAGUUCCUGUGCAAGCAUGACAUGCAGAGUCAUUAAACAUUCAGUCUUUUG